UGUGUUGACGGAAGACGGACAGAUUACAGAUUUUCCUUCUUGCCUUCGGUACGGCCAAGUAAAACCAAGGUACGCAGCAAAAAUCUACACAAAUGGCGUAUAUAUGACUGGCGAGUUAUAGGAGACAUAGGCCAGAAGUAAUGGAUGUCAUUCAUCAUCCCUGAGGUUUGUGUCUCUUUGGUUGGUUUUCGAACUGUUUCUGAUUGGACACCAUUCAAUGUCUCUGGUAUACUAGAAACUACAUUGAGAGGAAUGAUUGAAUAUUUUAAUUGGUGUACCGGAGUGAGGAAUUGUCACUUAUCCUUAAUUGUCAAAAUUUCCUGCAAGUUUGGAAGGAAGUGGCUAUAAUUGUAUGUUAGUUUACCUUCUAACAAACUGUUUGGAUUGAGAGCAUGGCCCAAUGUUUCUGGUAUACUAGGAACUACAGUGAGAGGGUCGUCCAUACCUUGAGAAAAUAUCCAGUCAACAGAGAUACAAGAACGGCGAGAGACCGCUCUGGAUAUGGCGAAGAAAACUGUGGAACUUAGGAUGUUGGAGAUACCUACGACAGUAAAUAACGUUGUGUGAAUGUGUCAUUGUCUUUAAUUUAUUGUAAAGCCAGUCGUUUGUCUGAGCGCAAACUAACUUCUGGCGUUAAUUAUCCCUAUUUCGUCUAUCCAAUCGUUGAGAAUGGUUUAGUGCUACACGUCGAAUUACAGGGCAAAAUAUAAUCCUCAAUUUCAAAAAGAGCCAUGCACCAAUGACAUUUCUCAUGGCAAGUUUUAUAUGCUCUUGGAUGCAGCAAAAUAUUGACAAGUUUUAAAUGCUAAAGGGGCUGAUUCAAAAGCUGUUCAUGAUAGAAUUACUCGUAUUUACAGCCGACCUGGAAAAACAUACUGUCGUACCUACGACAGAAUAUUACCAGGACAAGACACUUGUAUCAUUGUGUAUGUCAAGAAACGAACCUAUACUCUUCCAAUUCUGUUUUUCGCUUUCAAAUACAAGUGUUUAGUCGACAGCGUUUAAAAUAAAACGUCGCUAUGAUAACUGCAGUAAAGCUUUGUCAUGGAGGCACCUUGAAUGGCUUUAAUGGUGAUAUGAUUUUUAUAAUAUCAUGGUUGCAAGAUCUCGCAUUUUAAGUUGAUUGAAUACUACUAGCAUUAAAUUAUGCUCUGUAGGCAAACCUUGCAGGAUUUGGAAAAAUCAUUACUUUUUCUGAGAAAGAUUUUGAUGAAGCCUUCGGUAGGAUUUUGAAUCAAGAAAUUAUUAUAUCGACUACAUAUUUUGAUGAAUUAGAAAUCAUUGCGUUAUUUCCGGUAAAUAUUAAACAAAACUUUACAGAUGAGAGUCAUGAGACGUGAUCUACUUUGUGUUAAGUUUUUCGAUUUUUGUAGUAUUACUGUUUUGUAUUCUCAAGCGAUACUAUGUAGUCGAUACCUAUUGAAGUCAUUCGGUUCUCUCCAUUUCCUUAAACAGGGUUAUUUAUUAUUAACUUUACUAUCACAUGCAUGAUAAGUAUUUGUUACGUGAGAAAUGUAAUGUUUGUUGUUCCAGGUGAUCUGGAAUGGCGGUUGAGGACUGGGACUGGGGGUAGUUGUGAUGAAAAUCCAUUUCUCGGUUGAAACAACUUGAAAUAUAUUUUAUUACGGUUUCAAAUUUAUGUCAGAGCUAUAGUUCGUAUUACUUAACAUGCAUAAUCACAAAAUUUCUUCAAGUCAGUUCAUAUUUAAUUUAUAAAGAAUAACAUAAGAUAUAAACCAUUUAAUAUUGCAGAAUGAAUUAGUAUUUUGACAGACAACCCUUCCGAGCGCUGAUUUACUAAAAAAUGAGUGCGAGAUU
Molecule: long non-coding RNA, 1818 nt
Organism: Dendronephthya gigantea
Lineage: Eukaryota; Metazoa; Cnidaria; Anthozoa; Malacalcyonacea; Nephtheidae
Exons: 3
Source: RefSeq, a predicted model, not a curated record